This is a long non-coding RNA of Manduca sexta (tobacco hornworm), 2435 nucleotides long. RefSeq lists it as uncharacterized. The transcript is spliced from 2 exons. The record is from RefSeq and is a predicted model, not a curated record. Lineage: Eukaryota; Metazoa; Arthropoda; Insecta; Lepidoptera; Sphingidae.
ACCUGUAAGAUCUUUAGUAGUAAUUUGGACAAAUCAAACACGUUAAACUUAGGCGGUAAGAACGUAGCACAAUACGUAUUGUAUUACAAAGCGCAAGCGCAGGUAACAAGCUUUCAUAAGAAACAAUGCUAUUGAAAAUUGAAAGUCGGUAAAAUGCGUUUCCUACUUGGUUUCCCUCGCCCGAGAUUGUAAAACGAUAAGAAGUGUAAACAACGCGUCCUAGCCGCACUUGUGACGCAACAGGCUCCCGGCUCACCUGUAUAUAAAAACCGACUUCUUAAGAAAGACGCCAUUUUACUGUAGCCGCCAUGCACGAUAGUUUACGAUUACAUUAUUUUCGGACUAAAAUCAUAGUGCUUAGAUAAUUAAAAUUCAUCUUUGACAAAAUAAUUAUGAGUAUAAUUUUUAAAAUUCGAAUUUAAAGAUGUGUUUUAAAAAAAUAAGUGCGUCAGGCAAUGUGGAAGAUAUAUUGAUCGCGAUUUUUUUUAAUAGUCAUUUCAAGGCAACGGAAGCUGGUUGGACGGUCUAUAGAUAAUUAAGCGGUAUUCACGGCCUGUGAUUGGUCACAUGUAGCGUAACAGGGCGUCCACAAUGAUGAAAUAAUGAAUUGAACAUGUGAUUCAAGAUGGCGGACAUUUUCGGAAAAAAAAUUGUGGAAACUCCUGCGUUUUAUUUGGUUGCCGCUUCCAGACUUCCAGAAAUAAAGAAGAAAGAAGCAGAAAAAAGAAGAUAUAAGAAAUAAGAAGCAUAUAAUCUGUUAAUGAAGAGAGCUAUCCGUCGACAGUAUUGCCACUAAACACUGUCAUGGAGUUGCUCUCUUUAUGAACGGAUGCAAACUCAACGAUGCUGACGAAAAUAUAAGAAUAUAGAACGAAGAUAGAAGAACGGUUUAAUUUUGUUUUUUUUUUCUUUAUUUUAUUUAUUUGGUGCCUAAUAUUAUUUGUUAGUAAUUUAUACGCACUCGCCCUUGGUAAUGAUAAAAUAUUGUGUUGUAUAAUUCUACAUAAUAAUUGGUCGGUAGAAAUAGAUUCAUUUAACUAUACAUUUCUCUAUCAUACCUACAUAUUACUGUAAAGGGUACGGCUUUACUUCGUUAAAUAUCGUUAGAAUUAACGCCACGACGUGUUUACACAACCUUAGAACUUUACUAAAUAGUUUAAUCUAUUUCUACUUACGUCAUAAUCAUUUAUAGCGAGCGGAUAAACGCGCGUUUUCAAAAAUUCCCGUGUGCGUACGCCCUUAUUUGCAAAAUGUUUCUAGAAUUGUAAUAUCUCAUUUAACAGAACGUGUUGUAAAUGACGUGAUUUUUAUCUUGUUAUCACGUUACCCCAAUUCCAUGAUCUGAAGACAAUAAGCUUAGUAUGAUGCCUCAGUACACUGCCAUAACGUUAAAUUACUUAACAAGUCAAACAGCGCUGUGUACACUGCAUUCUUCGUGUUAUCAGUGAUAAGGCGACAUGAGAUCCGACGGCCUGUGAUAACGAUACGGAGGGUAAAUAUUGAUAACGGGUCACCUGUUUAGAGUUAGAUUUCCUGUUAAUUGUACGAUAUAAGUUUAAUAACCGUGUUUUUUAUACCGACAAAUUUAAACAUUUUGUGUAGGCAGCGUAGAUCAAACUGUUCCGAUUGUGGACUUGGGAAGACGUUUACCUGGUUUUGUCGGAGUGGGCACUUAGUGAAUCUCAUACCUUAGGUAUCAACUAUCAAUGUUGGGAAUCAUAGUGUUUUGUCGACUCCUGCGUUAAGCUGGCUAGGGUGUUGUUGAACAUAUGUUUUAAGAGUAUGAGGGGACGAGUAGGCAGCAAUAAAAGCGGACGUAUGGGGCGACAUAGUCGGCAACAUGCGACUAAAAAAUAUUUUGUUAAAGUGCGUAUUUUGGCGUAAAUCGAAAAGCGCGGUGGUUUUAGUCUGGCAAAUAUUUCAUCAUCUUUUGUUACAUAAUGAUUAAGAAACAACAUGUUGUAACGAAUUUAAGAAAUAUAUUAUUAAUAAAUAGAUUUAUAUUUAAAAUCGCAUUUAGAGCAAGGAAUUGUAAAGUUAUACAUAUUGAAAUGAUAUUUACCUGGUUGUAUUCAUGAUUUAUAACAUCAGUGUUAAUAUUUUACUUAAUUGCGUGCACUGUUUCUCCCGUUUUCUCAAAUUAAUAAAAAAAUAUUUUUAUUGUGAUUCUAAGCGUUAGUGACUAAGGGUUCACGUAAUCCGAUUCCUGCUCGCUUCAGUUUACUAGUACCUGUUUAUUAGUACCUAUAAGUUGUGUCUGGUUCCCUUUGAAAAAAUUCCACCCUUCACCAUUAGUAAGCGUGGUAAUGUAGUCAAUCGGCUGCCUGCCACGACACAAUGUUAUUUCAUUACAUUUGUACGUUUUUGUCUGAUUUCAGAUGCAGUUUCCACAGAUUUAUACGGCACAAGUUAUUAUUAAAUAAAUUUAAAACUUC